AUUGAACGCUGGCGGCAGGCCUAACACAUGCAAGUCGAACGGUAACAGGAAGCAGCUUGCUGCUUUGCUGACGAGUGGCGGACGGGUGAGUAAUGUCUGGGAAACUGCCCGAUGGAGGGGGAUAACUACUGGAAACGGUAGCUAAUACCGCAUAACGUCGCAAGACCAAAGAGGGGGACCUUAGGGCCUCUUGCCAUCGGAUGUGCCCAGAUGGGAUUAGCUAGUAGGUGGGGUAACGGCUCACCUAGGCGACGAUCCCUAGCUGGUCUGAGAGGAUGACCAGCCACACUGGAACUGAGACACGGUCCAGACUCCUACGGGAGGCAGCAGUGGGGAAUAUUGCACAAUGGGCGCAAGCCUGAUGCAGCCAUGCCGCGUGUAUGAAGAAGGCCUUCGGGUUGUAAAGUACUUUCAACGGGGAGGAAGGGAGUAAAGUUAAUACCUUUGCUCAUUGACGUUACCCGCAGAAGAAGCACCGGCUAACUCCGUG
RNAcentral lists this ribosomal RNA (490 nucleotides) under uncultured bacterium. RNAcentral's name for it is "partial 16S ribosomal RNA". It matches the Rfam family "Bacterial small subunit ribosomal RNA", at positions 30 to 507 of the family's 1533-position model. The record is from RNAcentral.